AAUCAACGCUGGCGGCGUGCCUAACACAUGCAAGUCGAACGCGAAAGUGGAGCAAUCCAUGAGUAGAGUGGCGAACGGGUGAGUAACGCGUGGGUGACCUGCCUUCGAGUGGGGGAUAACGUCUCGAAAGGGACGCUAAUACCGCAUAACAUCCUGCCUUUCAACAGGCGGCGAUCAAAGCCGGGGACCGCAAGGCCUGGCGCUUGGAGAGGGGCCCGCGUCCGAUUAGCAGUUGGUAGGGUAAUGGCCUACCAAGGCGACGAUCGGUAGCCGGCCUGAGAGGGCGGACGGCCACACUGGGACUGAGACACGGCCCAGACUCCUACGGGAGGCAGCAGUGGGGAAUUGUUCGCAAUGGGCGCAAGCCUGACGACGCAACGCCGCGUGGAGGACGAAGAUCUUCGGGUCGUAAACUCCUGUCGAGCGGGACGAAACCCUCGAGUGUGAAUAGCA
This 453-nucleotide ribosomal RNA is filed under the name uncultured bacterium. RNAcentral's name for it is "bacterial SSU rRNA". It matches the Rfam family "Bacterial small subunit ribosomal RNA", at positions 29 to 469 of the family's 1533-position model. The record is from RNAcentral.